GCAGAAAACACGAAACGCCACACACCAUCUUCUACGUCGAAGCAGUAAGUCUUUCAGAAGAAAGUAACAAUAACGUUAAAAAUGUUUCUUCUAAUUGUAUUGGCAUGCAUUUCUCUCUCCCAGGCUAGUCAACUCCUGUACAAUGCUUAUCCUUACGCUCGUCCUUACCAAGCUGGAUACUACGUCAGGGAGCCUCAUCGUCACGAGCACGUCGAAGUAGCUCGAGACCACGGAGGUGCAGU
This is a long non-coding RNA of Argiope bruennichi, 242 nucleotides long. RefSeq lists it as uncharacterized. Lineage: Eukaryota; Metazoa; Arthropoda; Arachnida; Araneae; Araneidae. The transcript has 3 exons. The record is from RefSeq and is a predicted model, not a curated record.